This 303-nucleotide ribosomal RNA is filed under the name Triticum aestivum (bread wheat). RNAcentral's name for it is "partial small subunit ribosomal RNA". The record is from RNAcentral. Lineage: Eukaryota; Viridiplantae; Streptophyta; Magnoliopsida; Poales; Poaceae.
AUGCAGCUGGACGAUGUGUGUUGCAGGACCACAGAUAGUGCAUGCAUUGGUGGUAAUCUGCUUCUAUUUUCUGUAUGGAGCUGGGAGCGUCUGACUGUUGGAAGCCCGAAGAGCGUCAAGUUUAAUCCUUGGGAUGAAGAUGACGAAUUACGGCGCCCCACUUGGGCUUACAAGUGGGAUGUGGUAUCCGAGAUGACGAAUGAUGUCAAUUUCAUGUACCAAAAGUACAUCACCGAGUUGGACAUGAUUAUGACUAAGCAGGUAAUGAGGACAUUACAUCAUUCAUUUCUCAUGCUUGCCUAA